CCUACGGGAGGCAGCAGUGGGGAAUCUUAGACAAUGGGGGCAACCCUGAUCUAGCCAUGCCGCGUGAGUGAUGAAGGCCUUAGGGUCGUAAAGCUCUUUCGCCUGUGAUGAUAAUGACAGUAGCAGGUAAAGAAACCCCGGCUAACUCCGUGCCAGCAGCCGCGGUAAUACGGAGGGGGUUAGCGUUGUUCGGAAUUACUGGGCGUAAAGCGCGCGUAGGCGGAUUAGAAAGUUGGGGGUGAAAUCCCGGGGCUCAACCCCGGAACUGCCUCCAAAACUGCUAGUCUAGAGUUCGAGAGAGGUGAGUGGAAUUCCGAGUGUAGAGGUGAAAUUCGUAGAUAUUCGGAGGAACACCAGUGGCGAAGGCGGCUCACUGGCUCGAUACUGACGCUGAGGUGCGAAAGUGUGGGGAGCAAACAGGAUUAGAUACCCUGGUAGUCCACACCGUAAACGAUGAAUGCCAGUCGUCGGGUAGUAUACUAUUCGGUGACACACCUAACGGAUUAAGCAUUCCGCCUGGGGAGUACGGUCGCAAGAUUAAAACUCAAAGGAAUUGACGGA
This 561-nucleotide ribosomal RNA is filed under the name uncultured bacterium. RNAcentral's name for it is "bacterial SSU rRNA". It matches the Rfam family "Bacterial small subunit ribosomal RNA", at positions 338 to 917 of the family's 1533-position model. The record is from RNAcentral.